This 437-nucleotide long non-coding RNA is filed under the name Citrus sinensis (sweet orange). RNAcentral's name for it is "long non-coding RNA (CSIN_LNC002655)". Lineage: Eukaryota; Viridiplantae; Streptophyta; Magnoliopsida; Sapindales; Rutaceae. The record is from RNAcentral.
UUACCUUCAUCUUCAUUGACAUCAAUUUUUUGUUUUUCUUUUUUCAGGUAUCACAACUCCCUGACUUAUCCCGCAGUUAGUUAAUAUACUUUGCCUGCUCCUAUAUAUAUAUAUAUGGAGACGGUUGGAGAGAUUAAUAAAACGCUGGCAUUACUUUUAAUGCUCAAGCUUUAUAUAUAAUUUAUUUGUCUGGUGUAAUGGUAACUCAUGUAUUAUCUUCAUCAAAUUACGCGUUUCUCUUAUUGCUUUUCAAUUGAUUUGCUGUCUUCAGCAAUCGAUCCUUGAUUUUCUUGUACAAUUUUCAUUACUAUUGUUGAGUUUUCUCGGACGUUGAUGGCUUGUUGCUGUGUAUGUAUGGCUGCAAUUAAACGACUGGAAACAUUUGCUCUGUGCUAUUCUUGUCUCUAUAUUGAUUCCAACUAAUAAUAAGAAACGCU